This 200-nucleotide ribosomal RNA is filed under the name uncultured bacterium. Its description in RNAcentral is "partial 16S ribosomal RNA". It matches the Rfam family "Bacterial small subunit ribosomal RNA", at positions 8 to 211 of the family's 1533-position model. The record is from RNAcentral.
AGAGUUUGAUCCUGGCUCAGAUUGAACGCUAGCGGCAUGCUUAACACAUGCAAGUCGAACGGUAACAGGACUAGCUUGCUAGUCGCUGACGAGUGGCGGACGGGUGAGUAAUGCGUAGGAAUCUACCUCGUAGUGGGGGAUAACCCGGGGAAACUCGGGCUAAUACCGCAUAAUCUCUAAGGAGUAAAGUGGGGGACCUU